This 1034-nucleotide long non-coding RNA is filed under the name Equus caballus (horse). RNAcentral describes it as "lncRNA (ENSECAG00000058995.1)". Lineage: Eukaryota; Metazoa; Chordata; Mammalia; Perissodactyla; Equidae. The record is from RNAcentral.
AUCUUGCUGUGUCCUCACAUGGCCCUUCCUCUGUGCACAUGGAGAGAGGGAGCUCCUGUCCCUCGUCUACUUCUCAUGAGGACACAAUCCUGCUGGAGUAGGCCCUGCCCUUACGUCCUCAUUAAUCUUUUUUUUUUUUUUUUAUUGAUUUCUUUUUUUUUUGAAGAAGAUUAGCCCUGAGCUAACUGCUGCCAAUCCUCCUCUUUUUGCUGAGGAAGCCUGGCCCUGAGCUAACAUCCGUGCCCAUCUUCCUCUACUUUCUAUGUGGGACGCCUGCCACAGCAUGGCUUGCCAAGCGGUACCAUGUCCACACCCGGGAUCCGGGCUGGCGAACCCCCGGCCACCGAGAAGCAGAACAUGCGCACUUAACCGCUGUGCCACCGGGCCUGUCCCUUACGUCCUCAUUAAUCUUAAUUACUUGUAUCUCCCAGGACAGUCGUGUCGGAGGUCAGAGCUUCAAUACGUAGCUUUUGAGGGGGAUGCAAUUCAGUCCACAGCACUGUGUAUUCCAGAUUGUUCUCCAGAGGCAGCUUUAGACAUUAUCCACAGACUUCCCACUACGGAAGAUGAGAAUGUAGCUGUCUCACGUAUUCUCACCUCCUGUCUCCUGAUGCCCCCAGCUACUUCCCUCCUCUCAUGCAUCCAGCACAGAUGUGUAAUAAUUGGAGGGUCCCUUGGGAAGCCCCUGUCCUUCUGCUCUGAUGUUUUUUGGUUGCUCUCUAAGCCUGCAGCCUUGCCAUCCUCCUGAGAUGUCUCAGCACCAGCCUGCAGGUUCCCUUCAUCUGUCUCCUGUAUCAGAUUCCAAGCUGCCUGGAUUCCACAACCUCUCUCUUUGUUUCCCUUCAUCAUUUUGAUGAGUACAUCCUCUGCUUGCUUUUGAAGAAAGGUUGCAGAGGAGGUGAAUUUUUGAGAACUUGCUUUUUUCUGUUUUCCCUAUUUGCCCAUUUAAUUGAUGGCUUGUGUGGGUACCGACUUCCAGGGUGCUGCAUUAGUCAGAACAGGCGAACUAUUGUACCAAAGAACCCUUGAAUUUC